Molecule: long non-coding RNA, 602 nt
Filed under: Homo sapiens (human)
Lineage: Eukaryota; Metazoa; Chordata; Mammalia; Primates; Hominidae
Description: non-protein coding lnc-ACTR1B-1:6
Source: RNAcentral
CCUACUUUGCACUAAUAGGAAAUGAGUUCUAGAUUUGAAAUAGUUUUUAAAUAAAUCUUCCAGUACCAAAAAGCAAACAGAAGGAAAAAAUGUCUGUUUCUCUGCAAAACACUUGCUUUGAACCUGGCUGUGAGCUAGUGAUAGGGCAUCCGGAGCUCUGGGGCUCCCUCCGACUCAACCCUUGUGGUAAGCAGCCAUUGUUCAGCUCUUCCUUUUGUCUGUUUUUAAUAUUUGAGUACCCCCAGUUGAAGCAGUGUCUCCUGUUUGUGAAGCUGUGCACUAUGGAUCCGUUUGCACUAACCACCAUACAUUUUUGUGUGUUGCGUUUUCCUCUUGUAACAUUUAGCUCGGGUUUGUGGAGUCCCGUCAGCAACCCAAGCAGCCCUGACUUCACUCCCCUCAAUUCGUUCUCCGCCUUUGGAAACUCUUUUAAUCUAACUGGUGAAGUUUUCAGCAAACUCGGAUUAUCUCGAUCGUGCAAUCAGGCCUCACAGAGGAGCUGGAACGAGUUUAAUAGUGGCCCUUCAUACCUUUGGGAGUCGCCAGCGACAGAUCCCAGUCCUUCCUGGCCAGCCAGUUCCGGCUCCCCGACCCACACAGCC